This 930-nucleotide unclassified non-coding RNA is filed under the name uncultured cyanobacterium. RNAcentral describes it as "partial contains 16S ribosomal RNA, 16S-23S ribosomal RNA intergenic spacer, and 23S ribosomal RNA". The stretch from base 1 to 153 matches the Rfam family "Bacterial small subunit ribosomal RNA", at positions 1382 to 1533 of the family's 1533-position model. The record is from RNAcentral. Lineage: Bacteria; Bacillati; Cyanobacteriota.
UGUACACACCGCCCGUCACACCAUGGAAGUUAGCCACGCCCGAAGUCGUUACUCCAACCCUUGUGGAGGAGGAUGCCGAAGGUGGGGCUGAUGACUGGGGUGAAGUCGUAACAAGGUAGCCGUACCGGAAGGUGCGGCUGGAUCACCUCCUAACAGGGAGACAAAUGUAACAUUGAUGUUAACCCAAUUGUGGUGAACCGAUGUUCUGUCAUCUCGAAGGUCGAUCGGUACCUCGAUAAACAACAGGAAGGAUAACUUGCUGAAGUUUUUUCAGUUUCUCAACUUCUGUCUAGGUCACCCCAAAGGUGAGCGAUGUUAAGUCGCAAAGCUGAGGUAGGACGCUCCUGGGCCAUUAGCUCAGGUGGUUAGAGCGCACCCCUGAUAAGGGUGAGGUCCCUGGUUCAAGUCCAGGAUGGCCCAUUCGUGUUUGGGGGUUUAGCUCAGUUGGUAGAGCGCCUGCUUUGCAAGCAGGAUGUCAGCGGUUCGAGUCCGCUAACCUCCAUCAACAGUUGAGGUAUAGGACCUCUAGACCACAGGAGCCAAUGCUGUGGGAAGAUCUAGACAUGAACAAGCCGUAACUGGUGACGACGAGUUCAGCAUCAUUUCAUUCCCGAAUGCUUGAGGAGCAAGGGUUGAAAAGACGCUGGAUUCACUAGUUGUUUACUUUGAAGUGUAAGCAGCUAGUUGUUCAGCAGAACCUUGACAACUGCAUAGGUGAGUCUGGAAAGAAAGCAUCUCAUAGAUGGCUAGAAGCGAAAGCUUUUAGCAAAUUCUUGAGUUAAGAGCCGAGUAUCCAAAACAAUCAUGAUCAAAACGAUUGUGAGCUUUCAGUGAAUGCUGAAAGAUCAUGAUUCGGAUUUGGAUGUAUUGGUUUGGAUGAUAAUGGUCAAGCUACAAAGGGCUCACGGUGGAUACCUAGGCACACAGAGA